Non-coding RNA from Capsicum annuum, 72 nucleotides. The record is from Rfam. Lineage: Eukaryota; Viridiplantae; Streptophyta; Magnoliopsida; Solanales; Solanaceae.
UCCUCAGUAGCUCAGUGGUAGAGUGUCUGGCUGUUAACCAAUUAGUCGUAGUUUCAAAUCCUACUUGGGGAG